RNAcentral lists this ribosomal RNA (253 nucleotides) under uncultured bacterium. RNAcentral's name for it is "partial 16S ribosomal RNA". It matches the Rfam family "Bacterial small subunit ribosomal RNA", at positions 524 to 776 of the family's 1533-position model. The record is from RNAcentral.
UACGAAGGUCCCAAGCGUUGUUCGGAAUCACUGGGCGUAAAGGGAGCGUAGGCGGCGUGGUAAGUCAGAUGUGAAAUCCCGGGGCUCAACCCCGGAACUGCAUCCGAUACUGCCAUGCUAGAGGAUUGGAGAGGUAGCUGGAAUUCUUGGUGUAGCAGUGAAAUGCGCAGAUAUCAGGAGGAACACCGAUGGCGAAGGCAGGUCUCUGGGCAUUAACUGACGCUGAGGAGCGAAAGCAUGGGGAGCGAACAGG